This 1849-nucleotide long non-coding RNA is filed under the name Gallus gallus (chicken). The record is from RNAcentral. Lineage: Eukaryota; Metazoa; Chordata; Aves; Galliformes; Phasianidae.
AUGCAAUAUAGAUCUGCUGCACAAACGCACGUGCAGGAUGCACUUCAAGGUUGACCCUUGUAGUAGGCGUUUCCGAGGAGACGGGAUGUGACACGACAGGACCUCCCCUGCUCAGUUAUUGGAUGCAUAGUUAGAGGGCGUAGAUGAAGCAGAACUGGCUGCCAUGAAGCAAUAAACGCCAUUUUGCUGUACACUACAUAGGGGUCUGUGUGCAGUUGAUUGGCCCUGGCCUGGUUUGGGGCCAGUUUCGCUGGAUGUGAUGAUCGCGGUCCGGGGUUCAGAGAAUCACGUGACAACAACCCUCUUCCAGUAAGCAGAGCUGUCUGAUAGAGCUGUAUGCCCUCUGCAAAGUCAAUUGCAUUACAUUAUCUGCACCCCUGAAGUGUGUACUUAAACAUCUGUUGUAAGGCUGGAAAUGUGGAAGGAUAAAAACCUUAAAGCCCAGGGAUGUAAUUCCCCACACGGUGGUGCUCUGUGGCUGCUUUAUGCUAAACCACUCAAUCCAGUCCGACACCAUUCAUCUGUCAGCACAGAAAUGUAAUGGGAAGCCCACUAGAUAGCACCCUAUACAUGUGUUUCUCCCCUCUUAAUCUGUUCCACUAUAAUCAAUUAAAAAUCAGAUGAUAAAGAAGUUUUCAUCCCUCUUCCGACAGUCCACCAAACCCAUUUUUAUGAAUGCUCUGUUGCUGGAAGCAGGUCCACCAACAUAUGCAUGUAUAUAGGUUUUUAAAAGUGUAGCCAAGCUAUGAAUACCUACGUAGCUUUCAAAUGCUCACAAGUGGAGAACCAAGUUUCCAAGCGCAGCACCUUCCAACGAUUAGAUCUGCCAGCGGUGGCCUGAAGCAACAGUUUAGGGGUGCAUGGUUCCUGGCCGUGGUGUGUGACCCACCUUUUCCUUCAAGGAAGAGAAGUUGUGCAAUGGGAAUGGUCCCUGGGAGCAGUCAGGUCUGGUUCCCUCCUCCCUGCUCUGCCUUUGCAGUGAGCUGUUCCCCAGCAAGGCAAGGGGUGCAGUCAGAAGAGGUCGUGUUUUACUUAGAGGGAAAGACCUGAACCCAGUCAGAAAUAUUAGCACAUUUCACUGUUAUUUCUUCCCAUAGACCUGCUUUGUUCCAUGGAUUGAGGCAGAAAUCUACUUUUCCUUUUGACAUCGAUGUAGAGAUUUCACGCACGCCCCCAGCGUGCAGGGAGAUUUGGUUUGGUGCCUUUAUCCUGUUGCUGCCUUUCAUUGAUUGGCUGGUUGUGUGCAUUCGGAGCUUCCUGGGCCAAGCAUUUAAAUGCUCUUUGGAUUUCUGAACUCUGAAUAGCACAGACUGGAUUUACUCACACUGUGUUAAGGGUGCAUGAGCUGUGACAGCCCUUGAUGCUAUAGAUCUGUCUCUGGUUCCUGUGAGACUGCAGCACUCAGAGCUCACUGGCUCAUGUCCAUCCGCCCACUGCAUUUCUACCUGCUGGUUUAGCCAUCUUAUCUCACCUCGCAGCUGAGCUUUGCCAUUUCCCACAGUGGGAGGUGCCUCAGAUUAUGCCUUUAUCCACAUCCUAUCUGCCAGCUCCUGAUUAUGUGGGAGCUGUCAGGAAAUAAAACUGCCAUUUCAAAGUAUUCAGAAACGGUAUCAUUUUUCAUAUGUCUGUCUGUGUGUGGGGUUCUUCUGUAAGUUUCUUUACAUAUUUAUUCUGAUAUUUUGGGAUUUGGACACUUUAUUUGAAACUAAAAAGGUUUAGAAAUAAAUAUAGCAAAAAAUUCAUUUGAAUCAUAGAAUGGCCUGGGUUGAAAAGGACCACAACGAUCAUCGAGUUUCAGCGCCCCUGCUAUGUGCAGGGUCACCAACCAGCAGCCCAGGCUGCCCAGAGC